Kogia breviceps (pygmy sperm whale) is the source of this 157-nucleotide non-coding RNA. NCBI's taxonomy places the organism in Eukaryota, Metazoa, Chordata, Mammalia, Artiodactyla, Physeteridae. The record is from RefSeq and is a predicted model, not a curated record.
GACAGACUUAUGGGUGUCCACUGUACCCAUGGUUUAAACAGGACUGGCUACCUCAUCUGCAGAUAUUUGAUUGAUGUAGAAGGCAUGUGGCCAGAUGAUGCAAUUGAAUACUGGUGUUUUAUCUUUACAAGUUCUGCGUCGUUCCAUAAGAAAGCUG